This 492-nucleotide ribosomal RNA is filed under the name uncultured bacterium. RNAcentral describes it as "partial 16S ribosomal RNA". It matches the Rfam family "Bacterial small subunit ribosomal RNA", at positions 29 to 507 of the family's 1533-position model. The record is from RNAcentral.
AGUGAACGCUGGCGGUAGGCCUAACACAUGCAAGUCGAACGGCAGCACAGUAAUAGCUUGCUCUUACGGGUGGCGAGUGGCGGACGGGUGAGGAAUACAUCGGAAUCUACUUUUUCGUGGGGGAUAACGUAGGGAAACUUACGCUAAUACCGCAUACGACCUACGGGUGAAAGCAGGGGAUCUUCGGACCUUGCGCGAUUGAAUGAGCCGAUGUCGUAUUAGCUAGUUGGCGGGGUAAAGGCCCACCAAGGCGACGAUCCGUAGCUGGUGUGAGAGGAGGAUCACCCACACUGGAACUGAGACACGGUCCAGACUCCUACGGGAGGCAGCAGUGGGGAAUAGUGGACAAUGGGCGGAAGCCUGAUCCAGCCAUACCGCGUGGGUGAAGAAGGCCUUCGGGUUGUAAAGCCCUUUUGUUGGGAAAAAAAAGCAGCAGGUUAAUACCCCGCUGUUCUGACGGUACCCAAAGAAUAAGCACCGGCUAACUUCGUG